UUAAUGCAAUAGAGGAGGUAGAAUAUGAGGAAGCUCUUUGUGUUGCAAUCACACCACAUCAAUAAUAUAUAACCAAUCAAAUAUCUCCUUUUGAGAGAAAAAUAUAAUAAAAAUACUUUUUUAUAAUUCAUGAUGAGAUGAAUGAACAAUUUUUAAAAAUAUAUAAAAAUUGUAUUUUUAUAUAUAUGUAUAUUUUUAUAUGAUUUUGGUUUUGUUUUUUGUUUCGGGUUUUGGUUUAGGUUCUAUUUGGAUAUAGACCAAAAUCAUAAUUGAAUUUGAAUACGAUGAGAGUUUACUUUUUUUGUAUCUAUAACUGAAACUAUUCUCACUCAGCAUCGAUUAAGCUCAUCCAAUUCAAAAUCGAGUUCAGAUAAAAUUACGUAUCUAUAUCAAUUCACAUUCCUAAUUAGUAAUAGUAAUUUUGAAAUAAAAUUAUAGAUUUUAUUUUUUUUUCUAUUUAAUCAAAAAUAAAUUACAUAAUUAUAUGCAUGCAUUUUUCUGUUGAUUGAAAGAAAAAAAAAAGAAUUUUGUUUGAAAGCUAAAAUAUAUUAUAUUUUGGUUUUUUAAUGCAUUUAAUGCACAUAAAAUAAUUGAGAAUAAUUUUGGUUAAAAAAAUUUUUAAGCUUCCAAAGAUGGAAAAGAUUCUCAAUAUUUAUUUUUAUUUAAAUUUUUAUACAUAGUUAUUUAUUUGCUAAAAAAUAAAUAGAGCCACUAGAUAUGGCGAAAUCAUCAAAAAACUCGAUAAAAUCUAUUUUUCAUACACUAAAAUUAGUUAUUUUUAAAAAUCAUCAAAAAAACUCGAUAAAAUCUAUUUUUCAUACACUAAAAUUAGUUAUUUUUAAAAAUCAUCAAACAAACUCGAUAAAAUCUAUUUUUCAUACACUAAAAUUAAUUAUUUUUUAAAAAAACUAAAAGUUAAUGGAAUAUCAACUAAAAAAAGUUGAGAGAGCAUUUUUAAAACGGCAUAUAGUUGAGGGGAUCUCGAUACACUUUUAUUGCAGGUAAAUAUAUCAUUUUAAAAGUUAACUCAUUUUAACUAAUUAUGAUGAAACUAACAUAACUAACGGUAGGAAUAUUGAUAACAAUUUUCUGUGUUUAUAGAAACAUAUGCGAUGUUUUAGUUGUUAUAGUUAAUUAGUCUAUGAUGCAUCCCACUAAAUGCUAAAUAGUAACUUAUUAAGAAAUUUUUUAAAAUAAAAACAUUAUUUUCUAAAUUAUUUUUAAUUUUAAAUAAAUAUAAUAAUAAAAAAAUUAUAAGUAAUUUAGUGUCCACUCUUAUAUUUUUUUAGAUAUAAAUUUAAAAUUUUAAUUUUUUAUAUUAUAGUACAAAUGGUGCCUCCGGCGGAUCCAUUGGAUUCAAUAAUAAUACAAAAAAGCAAACAAGCUAAAGAGGUUCCAUUAUUUGUCACACAUUAAAGAGUCGUGUCCAAAGCUAAACGACAGGGACACGUGUCGUGUUGCAUGGAGUUGGUCCCUCUUCAUUCCCCCAACUUUUUUGCACAUAUAUAUAACUACUCAGGCCACCGACCGUCCUUAGAGCAAGUGACAAAUAACUUGAUGGUUGAUAUCCAAGACUCAAAUUCGAAUCCUAGUUGAUUUACAUUUAUAGCUAAGUUUAUUUCUAAUGAAAUAAACGAAGCGGGUAGCGUGCUAUCUAUCUCUCUCAAAAAAAAAAAACACUACAACUCAAGGCCCUUUGUUCUAGUGUAAGUAGAAGGUGAAACUCAAAUUUAAGGUGACACUCAAAUUUCAUUAUUUUCGAUGAUUAUUUUAGUGUAAGUCAAAAAUAUAGUACUAUAAUUCAAGUUAAUUACGUUAGACCUUUAUUUCACCUACUUUCGACUUUUUUUCUCUAAAGUGUCGAACUCAACUUCCACCGGACUCAAUCUUCUCUAAAAAAUUUAUUAAACAUUAAACCUAAACUCUACUUUCUUUAAAAUCGGUUAGAAUUCCCUUAUUUAUAAUAAAUUAGAAUUACCUUUAAAUAAUAAUAAAAAAUUUAAUUAUUUAAUAAGUUAAAUUUUAUAACGGUAAAUUUACCACUAUAUUUAAAAGACAACGUGAUCCACUUACUUACAUCAAAAUAAACAGUGAAACUCAAAAAACUAAUUUCAUCGACACCAAGUUACAUCAAAACAAACAGAAAAAAUAAUUGAAUUUAACUUUUAGACCGUACGAGUUACGUCAAAAUAAAUAACAAAAAAAUAAUCGCACUUCGAUCAGAGAACUCAAACACCACUACAUGCACUUGAAUUAUGUUGAAUCUACAGAUUUGUCGAUCCAAACGCCCCUUUAGUUGAAAAAGUAAUAAUAAAUAAAAAAAUUACUGUAUAUUUCUUUCAAAUUUCUAAAGUAUUAUAUAUAUAUAUAGAAUUAUGCUACUAUACUAUCAAUAGUACCAAGUUAUUGGUACUAUUGAGUUUUAGGUCGUUGGAUGAAAGGAUGUGCGGUUUUGAUGAUAGUGGUCCCCUAGGGUUGAGUGGGUGGUUGGUUUAAUAGUAUAAUCUAACGGGUGGAAAUGAUCAAAGGGUAGAUCUAAUGGUAGAAAACUCAAUAGUACCAAAGGCUUGCUACUAUCGAUAGUAUAGUAGCCGGAUUCUAU
This 2602-nucleotide long non-coding RNA is filed under the name Ananas comosus (pineapple). RNAcentral's name for it is "long non-coding RNA (ACOM_LNC018261)". Lineage: Eukaryota; Viridiplantae; Streptophyta; Magnoliopsida; Poales; Bromeliaceae. The record is from RNAcentral.